Molecule: ribosomal RNA, 473 nt
Filed under: uncultured bacterium
Lineage: Bacteria
Description: SSU rRNA
Rfam family: Bacterial small subunit ribosomal RNA
Source: RNAcentral
AGGAUAAACGCUGGCGGCGUGCCUAACACAUGCAAGUCGAACGUCUCUUUCUUCGGGAAGAGGAGUGGCGGACGGGUGAGGAACACGUGGGAACCUGCCCUACAGUGAGGAAUACCGGCGAGAAAUCGCCGACAAGACCGCAUAGCCCUCUCUGGUGAGAGCCAGAGAAGGAAAGCUUCGCAAGAGGCGCUGGAGGAGGGGCCUGCGUCCGAUUAGCUAGUUGGUGGGGUAAGAGCCUACCAAGGCGUCGAUCGGUAGCUGGUCUGAGAGGACGAUCAGCCACACUGGGAUUGAGAACGGCCCAGACUCCUACGGGGGGCAGCAGUGAGGAAUUUUCGGCAAUGGGGGAAACCCUGACCGAGCAACGCCGCGUGCAGGAAGACGGCCUUCGGGUUGUAAACUGCUUUUCUUUGGGACGAGCGAAGGACGGUACCAGAGGAAUCAGCCCCGGCUCACUACGUGCCAGCAGCCGC